AGACGAGCUGGUUGCCUGAGUG
RNAcentral lists this microRNA (22 nucleotides) under Ixodes ricinus (castor bean tick). Its description in RNAcentral is "iri-miR-X27-3p". The record is from RNAcentral. Lineage: Eukaryota; Metazoa; Arthropoda; Arachnida; Ixodida; Ixodidae.